Molecule: ribosomal RNA, 664 nt
Filed under: uncultured bacterium
Lineage: Bacteria
Description: bacterial SSU rRNA
Rfam family: Bacterial small subunit ribosomal RNA
Source: RNAcentral
GAACUAGGCUCAGGACGAACGCUGGCGGCGUGCCUAACACAUGCAAGUCGAGCGAUGAAAGAGAAGUGGCGGUCUUCGGACCAAAACAUUUCUGGAUUAGCGGCGGACGGGUGAGUAACACGUGAGCAACCUGCCUAUCACAUCGGGAUAGCCUCGGGAAACUGGGAUUAAUACCGAAUGAAACAUAUUGGUAACCUUAUCGAAAUGUCAAAGAUUUAUCGGUGAUAGAUGGGCUCGCGUCUGAUUAGCUAGUUGGUGAGAUAAAAGCCCACCAAGGCAAUGAUCAGUAGCCGGCCUGAGAGGGUGAUCGGCCACAUUGGGACUGAGACACGGCCCAAACUCCUACGGGAGGCAGCAGUGGGGAAUAUUGCACAAUGGAGGGAACUCUGAUGCAGCGACGCCGCGUGAGCGAAGAAGGAAUUCGUUUCGUAAAGCUCUGUCCUAUGGGAAGAUAAUGACGGUACCAUAGAAGAAGGCCCCGGCUAACUACGUGCCAGCAGCCGCGGUAAUACGUAGGGGGCGAGCGUUGUCCGGAAUUAUUGGGCGUAAAGGGUUCGUAGGCGGUAAUACAUGUCAGAUGUGAAAUCUUGUGGCUUAACCACAUCAAGCAUCUGAAACUGUAUAACUUGAGUGGAGGAGAGGUAAGUGGAAUUCCUAGUGUAGC